GCCGAUUUUGUUUCUUCCUUUUUAGAUGCCGUCGUGUUUGUUGAUGUUGGGACUGUUAACAGUGGAGGAAGAAUGAGUAGAGACUGUUAUGGGUCAGUUUAAGUAGCUGGUUUUAAUCACUGGUGGUGAUUGUGGAGGUGAAGGAGUGAACGGCGUUGAUAUUAAAGAAAGGAGCUACAGGCCAUGAAGAAAGCUAACUGCGGUGACUGUUAAGGAGAAGGAGUGACAAGGAAACAUUAUCAAGGCUGCCUGCACCAUCGACUAGCCCUUCACAGCUGGUAUUUACGUGUCAUUAAUCUCAAACAGAAACAGCCAUGCACAUCUUGCUUAAUUAAAUGUAAACUGUAAAGUCAUAUCAGAUAGCUAAAACCAUAGAAUAAUUGACAGUAUGGUUUACCUUCCUGCCUCUAAUCUCACCUGCUAUGCCAUUAAACAUCACCAAACCACCCACAAGUAGACCGCACCACUUCAUUUAAUGCCCCCUCCUUUUGCUCUUGAAUUCUUUCUACCAAAGUAGAAUCAGCUUCUUCUCAUAUUUCUUUCAAGGAUUGAAGGAGAAGAGGAGCCUUGAGCUCAUAGGUCGUUGCUGUGCUGUGUUUAACGAUGACUGGAGGGGUGGUUGUGGGUGGGGAAUUCUGUUUCAAAGAGGAAACAAACCUUACAGCUCACAGGACCUGUGUUCUUCCCGGGAGAUGGUUUCAUCGUUUAUGAUCCUAACAGGAAAAUCAUCUCUAGAUUUGAUUCUUAUGGCCCUGAUUCCGAGCCUAAGGAUGAGCUUGUUCUCAUGGACGCCACUGGCAACGGCCUCCUCACCCUUCAUCGGAAGGUUAGCUCCUCUUUUCUAACUUUCUCAUGGAUUGACUCGAAGACUUUCGAGGAAGUUCUCCGGGCCUGACAAUUAUAAUAUACACGUGUUAACAGUAACCUUUGGG
RNAcentral lists this long non-coding RNA (932 nucleotides) under Populus trichocarpa (black cottonwood). RNAcentral describes it as "long non-coding RNA (PTRI_LNC004087)". The record is from RNAcentral. Lineage: Eukaryota; Viridiplantae; Streptophyta; Magnoliopsida; Malpighiales; Salicaceae.